RNAcentral lists this ribosomal RNA (229 nucleotides) under uncultured bacterium. RNAcentral describes it as "partial 16S ribosomal RNA". It matches the Rfam family "Bacterial small subunit ribosomal RNA", at positions 15 to 235 of the family's 1533-position model. The record is from RNAcentral.
GAUCAUGGCUCAGGAUGAACGCUAGCUACAGGCUUAACACAUGCAAGUCGAGGGGCAGCAUGAACUUAGCUUGCUAAGUUUGAUGGCGACCGGCGCACGGGUGAGUAACACGUAUCCAACCUUCCGUUUACUCAGGGAUAGCCUUUCGAAAGAAAGAUUAAUACCUGAUAGUAUGGUGAGAUUGCAUGAUAGCACCAUUAAAGAUUUAUUGGUGUGCGAUGGGGAUGCG